RNAcentral lists this ribosomal RNA (398 nucleotides) under uncultured bacterium. Its description in RNAcentral is "bacterial SSU rRNA". It matches the Rfam family "Bacterial small subunit ribosomal RNA", at positions 358 to 773 of the family's 1533-position model. The record is from RNAcentral.
GGAAUCUUGGACAAUGGGGGCAACCCUGAUCCAGCCAUGCCGCGUGAGCGAUGAAGGCCCUAGGGUUGUAAAGCUCUUUCACCCGUGAAGAUAAUGACGGUAGCGGGAGAAGAAGCCCCGGCUAACUCCGUGCCAGCAGCCGCGGUAAUACGGAGGGGGCUAGCGUUGUUCGGAAUUACUGGGCGUAAAGCGCGUGUAGGCGGCCAGGUAAGUCGGAUGUGAAAGCCCGGGGCCCAACCCCGGAACUGCACCCGAUACUGCCUGGCUGGAGUCCCGGAGAGGAUGGCGGAAUUUCCGGUGUAGAGGUGAAAUUCGUAGAUAUCGGAAGGAACACCAGUGGCGAAGGCGGCCAUCUGGACGGUGACUGACGCUGAGACGCGAAAGCGUGGGGAGCAAAC